AUCUACUGCCAUACCACCCUGAACAUGCCCAAUAUCAUCUGAUCUCAGAAGCUAAGCAAGGUCAGGCCUGGUUAGUACUUGAAUGAGAGACCACCUGGGAAUACCGGAUGCUGUAGGCU
Erinaceus europaeus (western European hedgehog) is the source of this 119-nucleotide ribosomal RNA. The record is from Ensembl. Lineage: Eukaryota; Metazoa; Chordata; Mammalia; Eulipotyphla; Erinaceidae.